RNAcentral lists this ribosomal RNA (446 nucleotides) under uncultured bacterium. Its description in RNAcentral is "bacterial SSU rRNA". It matches the Rfam family "Bacterial small subunit ribosomal RNA", at positions 330 to 792 of the family's 1533-position model. The record is from RNAcentral.
GCCAGACUCCUACGGGAGGCAGCAGUGGGGGAUAUUGCACAAUGGGGGAAACCCUGAUGCAGCGACGCCGCGUGAGUGAAGAAGUAUUUCGGUAUGUAAAGCUCUAUCAGCAGGGAAGAAGAAAGACGGUACCUGAGUAAGAAGCCCCGGCUAACUACGUGCCAGCAGCCGCGGUAAUACGUAGGGGGCAAGCGUUAUCCGGAUUUACUGGGUGUAAAGGGAGCGUAGACGGUAUGGCAAGUCUGAAGUGAAAGCCCCGGGCUCAACCUGGGAACUGCUUUGGAAACUGUUAAACUAGAGUGCUGGAGAGGCAGGCGGAAUUCCUAGUGUAGCGGUGAAAUGCGUAGAUAUUAGGAGGAACACCAGUGGCGAAGGCGGCCUGCUGGACAGUAACUGACGUUGAGGCUCGAGAGCGUGGGGAGCAAACAGGAUUAGAUACCCCAGUA